RNAcentral lists this ribosomal RNA (501 nucleotides) under uncultured bacterium. RNAcentral describes it as "partial 16S ribosomal RNA". It matches the Rfam family "Bacterial small subunit ribosomal RNA", at positions 30 to 523 of the family's 1533-position model. The record is from RNAcentral.
AUUGAACGCUGGCGGCAUGCCUUACACAUGCAAGUCGAACGGCAGCACGGGUGCUUGCACCUGGUGGCGAGUGGCGAACGGGUGAGUAAUAUAUCGGAACGUACCUUAUUGUGGGGGAUAACGCAGCGAAAGCUGUGCUAAUACCGCAUAAUCCCUAAGGGGGAAAGCGGGGGACCGUAAGGCCUCGCGCAAUUAGAGCGGCCGAUACCUGAUUAGCUAGUUGGUGAGGUAAAGGCUCACUAAGGCAACGAUCAGUAGCUGGUCUGAGAGGACGAUAAGCCACACGGGGACUGAGACACGGCCCAGACUCCUACGGGAGGCAGCAGUGGGGAAUUUUGGACAAUGGGGGCAACCCUGAUCCAGCAAUGCCGCGUGAGUGAAGAAGGCCUUCGGGUUGUAAAGCUCUUUUGUCAGGGAAGAAACAGCAGCUCUAACACAGUUUGCGAAUGACGGUACCUGAAGAAUAAGCACCGGCUAACUACGUGCCAGCCGCCGCCGUAA